Molecule: ribosomal RNA, 880 nt
Filed under: Sporothrix globosa
Lineage: Eukaryota; Fungi; Ascomycota; Sordariomycetes; Ophiostomatales; Ophiostomataceae
Description: LSU rRNA
Rfam family: Eukaryotic large subunit ribosomal RNA
Source: RNAcentral
AGCGGAGGAAAAGAAACCAACAGGGAUUGCCCCAGUAACGGCGAGUGAAGCGGCAACAGCUCAAAUUUGAAAUCUGGCCCCCCGGCCCGAGUUGUAAUUUGGAGAGGAUGCUUCUGGCGCGGCGCCGUCCGAGUUCCUUGGAACAGGACGCCACAGAGGGUGAGAGCCCCGUACGGACGGACGCCUAGCCUCUACGAAGCUCCUUCGACGAGUCGAGUAGUUUGGGAAUGCUGCUCAAAAUGGGAGGUAAAUUUCUUCUAAAGCUAAAUACCGGCCAGAGACCGAUAGCGCACAAGUAGAGUGAUCGAAAGAUGAAAAGCACUUUGAAAAGAGGGUUAAAAAGUACGUGAAAAUUGUUGAAAGGGAAGCGCCUGUGACCAGACUUGCGCCUCGCGGACCACCCGGCGUUCUCGCCGGUGCCCUCUGCGUGGCGCAGGCCAACCUCUGUUCUCCCAGGGGGACAAAGGCCGCGGGAACGUAGCUCCUUUGGGAGUGUUAUAGCCCGCGGCGGCAUGCCCCUGGGGGGACCGAGGAUCGCGCUUCGGCAAGGAUGCUGGCGUAAUGGUCACCAGCGACCCGUCUUGAAACACGGACCAAGGAGUCGAGCUUGUGGGCGAGUGUUUGGGUGUCAAACCCGCACGCGUAAUGAAAGUGAACGCAGGUGAGAGCUUCGGCGCAUCAUCGACCGAUCCUGAUGUUUUCGGAUGGAUUUGAGUAAGAGCCUGGGGGCUCGGACCCGAAAGAUGGUGAACUAUGCCUGAAUAGGGUGAAGCCAGAGGAAACUCUGGUGGAGGCUCGCAGCGGUUCUGACGUGCAAAUCGAUCGUCAAAUUUGGGCAUGUGGGGCGAAAGACUAAUCUAACCAUCUAGUAGCUGGUUAC